UCCUACUUAAACGCCAUUUUGAAGACAAAGGAGAAAGAAGACGGAGUAAAAGAAGGGAAACUGAAUAAAGAACGGAGUUGGCUAAUUUGGGCCAUAACUGACCCGUUUUCCAAUCUGGUCUAAUGUGAUCCAAUAUCUUGGGGUAGGAGGCGCUGUUACUAAAAUGAGUCUCUCAGGGGAGCCAGACACCAAAGGAGGAACCCUCAGCACUGAGAGGAAGAGGGUCCAGGUAGAAAGAGCCGAGUCACCUGUACCCAGCUGUCUGUCUAUGAAGAGUAAUGAAUCAAUGUAUAGUCCAAUCUACUUCAAAGCAAGGUCUACCGGUGAUCACAGGAUAUUGCCGUCACUGGAGUCUAGCUCUUUAGAAGAGACGCGUUCAGAGAAACUAUAUUCCCCAAAAGAG
Anguilla anguilla (European eel) is the source of this 403-nucleotide long non-coding RNA. RefSeq lists it as uncharacterized. The record is from RefSeq and is a predicted model, not a curated record. The transcript has 4 exons. Lineage: Eukaryota; Metazoa; Chordata; Actinopteri; Anguilliformes; Anguillidae.